This 62-nucleotide transfer RNA is filed under the name Cassianeura bimaculata. RNAcentral's name for it is "tRNA-Cys". The record is from RNAcentral. Lineage: Eukaryota; Metazoa; Arthropoda; Insecta; Hemiptera; Cicadellidae.
AAUCUUAUAGUUUAACAUAAAACAUUAAUUUGCAAAAUUAAAUAUACUAACUGUUAAGAUUU